RNAcentral lists this ribosomal RNA (1442 nucleotides) under uncultured organism. RNAcentral's name for it is "16S ribosomal RNA". It matches the Rfam family "Bacterial small subunit ribosomal RNA". The record is from RNAcentral.
CAGGCUUAACACAUGCAAGUCGAGGGGCAGCAUGGUCUUAGCUUGCUAAGGCCGAUGGCGACCGGCGCACGGGUGAGUAACGCGUAUCCAACCUGCCUUACACUCUUGGACAGCCUUCUGAAAGGGAGAUUAAUACAAGAUGUUAUCAUGAGUAAGCAUUUUCGCAUGAUUAAAGGUUUACCGGUGUAAGAUGGGGAUGCGUUCCAUUAGAUAGUAGGCGGGGUAACGGCCCACCUAGUCUUCGAUGGAUAGGGGUUCUGAGAGGAAGGUCCCCCACAUUGGAACUGAGACACGGUCCAAACUCCUACGGGAGGCAGCAGUGAGGAAUAUUGGUCAAUGGACGAGAGUCUGAACCAGCCAAGUAGCGUGAAGGAUGAAGGUCCUAUGGAUUGUAAACUUCUUUUAUACGGGAAUAAACGAAUCCACGUGUGGAUUUUUGCAUGUACCGUAUGAAUAAGGAUCGGCUAACUCCGUGCCAGCAGCCGCGGUAAUACGGAGGAUCCGAGCGUUAUCCGGAUUUAUUGGGUUUAAAGGGAGCGUAGAUGGGUUGUUAAGUCAGUUGUGAAAGUUUGCGGCUCAACCGUAAAAUUGCAAUUGAUACUGGCAGUCUUGAGUACAGUUGAGGUAGGCGGAAUUCGUGGUGUAGCGGUGAAAUGCUUAGAUAUCACGAAGAACUCCGAUUGCGAAGGCAGCUUACUAACCUGUAACUGACAUUGAUGCUCGAAAGUGUGGGUAUCAAACAGGAUUAGAUACCCUGGUAGUCCACACGGUAAACGAUGAAUACUCGCUGUAGGCGAUAUACAGUCUGCGGCCAAGCGAAAGCAUUAAGUAUUCCACCUGGGGAGUACGCCGGCAACGGUGAAACUCAAAGGAAUUGACGGGGGCCCGCACAAGCGGAGGAACAUGUGGUUUAAUUCGAUGAUACGCGAGGAACCUUACCUGGGCUUAAAUUGCAACCGAAUAUGGCGGAAACGCUAUAGCUAGCAAUAGCGGUUGUGAAGGUGCUGCAUGGUUGUCGUCAGCUCGUGCCGUGAGGUGUCGGCUUAAGUGCCAUAACGAGCGCAACCCUUGCCGAUAGUUACUAACAGGUUAUGCUGAGGACUCUGUCGGGACUGCCAUCGUAAGAUGUGAGGAAGGUGGGGAUGACGUCAAAUCAGCACGGCCCUUACGUCCGGGGCUACACACGUGUUACAAUGGGGGGUACAGAGGGCUGCUACCACGCAAGUGGAUGCCAAUCCCAAAAACCUCUCUCAGUUCGGAUUGAAGUCUGCAACCCGACUUCAUGAAGCUGGAUUCGCUAGUAAUCGCGCAUCAGCCACGGCGCGGUGAAUACGUUCCCGGGCCUUGUACACACCGCCCGUCAAGCCAUGGGAGCCGGGGGUACCUGAAGUGCGUAACCGCAAGGAGCGCCCUAGGGUAAAACUGGUGACUGGGGCUAAGUC